GUUGAUUUAAAAGUGUUUUAUAUAGUUUAGUGAAAUAUUUAUUACACAUUCUUUAUGUAAAUUACAAGAAAAAAAUACAAAAUAUUAGAUAAGUCACUAACUAUAGUAGUCUCCCCUUAUCUGAGGUUUCAUUCUCUGUGGUUUCAAACACUGGUGAUCAACCACACUCUGAAAAUAUUAAAUAUAAAACUCCAGAAAUAAUUCAUGAGUGUUAAAUUGCACCCAUUCUGAGCAAUGUGAUGAAAUCUCCCGUGUCCUGCUCCAUUUUGACCGGGAGAUGAACCACCUCUUUGCCCAGUAUAUCCAUACUCUGUGUGCUGCCCAUCCUGGUCAGUGGCCGUCUCAGUUACCAGAUCAACUGUCAUGGUGUCACAGUGCUUGUGUUCAAGUCACCCUUGCCUGACCUAAUAUGGCCCCAAAGUGCAAGAGUAACGAUGCUGGCAAUUUGGAUAUGCCAAACCAGGAGCCAUAAAGUGCUUUUUUUUAAGUGAAAAGGUAGAAGUUGUAGAAUUAAUAGGUGAAGAAAAAAAAUCCUAUGCUGAGGUUAUUAAGAUCUAUGAUAAGUUACUGUCAUUAAUCUCCUACUGUAGCUAACUUAUAAAUUAAACUUUAUUUUAGAUAUGUAUAGG
RNAcentral lists this long non-coding RNA (629 nucleotides) under Marmota monax (woodchuck). Lineage: Eukaryota; Metazoa; Chordata; Mammalia; Rodentia; Sciuridae. The record is from RNAcentral.